CCUACGGGUGGCUGCAGUGGGGAAUACUGCACAAUGGGCGCAAGCCUGAUGCAGCGACGCCGCGUGAGCGAUGAAGGCCUUCGGGUCGUAAAGCUCUGUCCUAAGGGCAGAAUAAUGACGGUACCUUAGGAGGAAGCCCCGGCUAACUACGUGCCAGCAGCCGCGGUAAUACGUAGGGGGCGAGCGUUAUCCGGAAUCACUGGGCGCAAAGGGUGCGUAGGCGGCCCUGCAAGUCAGGAGUUAAAUCCCUCGGGUAAACCGAGGUCAGCACCUGAAACGGUAGGGCUUGAGUGCAGGAGAGGAGAGCGGAAGUCCUAGUGUAGCGGUGCAGGGCGUAGAUAAUGAGAUGGACACCAGUAGCGAAGGCGGCUAUCAUGGCUGCAACUGACGCUGCGGCAGGAAAGCGUGGGGAGCGAACUGGAUUAGAUACCCGAGUAGUC
RNAcentral lists this ribosomal RNA (440 nucleotides) under uncultured bacterium. RNAcentral describes it as "bacterial SSU rRNA". It matches the Rfam family "Bacterial small subunit ribosomal RNA", at positions 338 to 795 of the family's 1533-position model. The record is from RNAcentral.